CCAGACUCCUACGGGAGGCAGCAGUGGGGAAUCUUAGACAAUGGGGGAAACCCUGAUCUAGCCAUGCCGCGUGAGUGAUGAAGGCCUUAGGGUCGUAAAGCUCUUUCGCCAGGGAUGAUAAUGACAGUACCUGGUAAAGAAGCCCCGGCUAACUCCGUGCCAGCAGCCGCGGUAAUACGGAGGGGGCUAGCGUUGUUCGGAAUUACUGGGCGUAAAGCGCGCGUAGGGGGCUGGAAAGUUGGGGGUGAAAUCCCGGGGCUCAACCCCGAACUGCCUCCAAAACUAUCAGUCUAGAGGUCGAGAGAGGUGAGUGGAAUACCGAGUGUAGAGGUGAAAUUCGUAGAUAUUCGGUGGAACACCAGUGGCGAAGGGGCUCACUGGCUCGAUACUGACGCUGAGGUGCGAAAGGUGGGGAGCAAACAGGAUUAGAUACCCUGGUAGUCCACGCCGUAAACGAUGAAUGCUAGACGUCAGGGGGCUUGCCUUUGGUGUCGCAGCUAACGCAAUAAGCAUUCC
Molecule: ribosomal RNA, 516 nt
Filed under: uncultured bacterium
Lineage: Bacteria
Description: bacterial SSU rRNA
Rfam family: Bacterial small subunit ribosomal RNA
Source: RNAcentral